Molecule: unclassified non-coding RNA, 253 nt
Filed under: uncultured Caryophanales bacterium
Lineage: Bacteria; Bacillati; Bacillota; Bacilli; Caryophanales
Description: uncultured Bacillales bacterium contains 16S-23S intergenic spacer region
Rfam family: Bacterial small subunit ribosomal RNA
Source: RNAcentral
UACGUAGGUGGCAAGCGUUGUACGGAAUUAUUGGGCGUAAAGCGCACGCAGGUAGUUUCUUAAGGCUGAUGUGAAAGCCCACGGCUCAACCGUGGAGGGUCAUUGGAAACUGGGGGACUUGAGUGCAGAAGAGGAAAGUGGAAUUCCACGUGUAGCGGUGAAAUGCGUAGAGAUGUGGAGGAACACCAGUGGCGAAGGCGACUUUCUGGUCUGUAACUGACGCUGAGGCGCGAAAGCGUGGGGAGCAAACAGG